Molecule: non-coding RNA, 310 nt
Organism: Pongo abelii (Sumatran orangutan)
Lineage: Eukaryota; Metazoa; Chordata; Mammalia; Primates; Hominidae
Source: Rfam
GGAUGUGAGGCGGAUCUGGCUGUGGCAUCUGUCACUCCAUUGAUUGCCAGGGUUGAUUUGGCUGAUCUGGCUGGCUAGAUGGGUGUCCCCUUCCUCACUCACUGCCCCAUGUGCAUUCCUCCUGAAGCUGUGUGCUAGGUUGAAGAGGAUGACCAUCCCCGAUAGAGAAGGACAGGUCUUUCGUUAAGGGUAUAUGAGUAGCUGCAUUCCCCUGCUAGAACCUGCAAACAGGCUAUCAAGAAUUGUAGUAUUUUGCUUGAAGUCAUAUAGCUAGUAAGUUGGUGAAUGAAUUUGAAUCAGAUCUAACUUC